UACGGAGGAUGCGAGCGUUAUCCGGAUUUAUUGGGUUUAAAGGGAGCGUAGACGGGUUUUUAAGUCAGCUGUGAAAGUUUGGGGCUCAACCUUAAAAUUGCAGUUGAAACUGGAGACCUUGAGUACGGUUGAGGCAGGCGGAAUUCGUGGUGUAGCGGUGAAAUGCUUAGAUAUCACGAAGAACCCCGAUUGCGAAGGCA
RNAcentral lists this ribosomal RNA (200 nucleotides) under Phocaeicola coprophilus DSM 18228 = JCM 13818. Its description in RNAcentral is "partial 16S ribosomal RNA". It matches the Rfam family "Bacterial small subunit ribosomal RNA", at positions 524 to 723 of the family's 1533-position model. The record is from RNAcentral. Lineage: Bacteria; Pseudomonadati; Bacteroidota; Bacteroidia; Bacteroidales; Bacteroidaceae.